This 521-nucleotide ribosomal RNA is filed under the name uncultured bacterium. Its description in RNAcentral is "bacterial SSU rRNA". It matches the Rfam family "Bacterial small subunit ribosomal RNA", at positions 8 to 524 of the family's 1533-position model. The record is from RNAcentral.
AGAGUUUGAUCCUGGCUCAGAUUGAACGCUGGCGGCAGGCCUAACACAUGCAAGUCGAGCGGUAGAGAGGUGCUUGCACCUCUUGAGAGCGGCGGACGGGUGAGUAAUGCCUAGGAAUCUGCCUGGUAGUGGGGGAUAACGCUCGGAAACGGACGCUAAUACCGCAUACGUCCUACGGGAGAAAGCAGGGGACCUUCGGGCCUUGCGCUAUCAGAUGAGCCUAGGUCGGAUUAGCUAGUUGGUGAGGUAACGGCUCACCAAGGCGACGAUCCGUAACUGGUCUGAGAGGAUGAUCAGUCACACUGGAACUGAGACACGGUCCAGACUCCUACGGGAGGCAGCAGUGGGGAAUAUUGGACAAUGGGCGAAAGCCUGAUCCAGCCAUGCCGCGUGUGUGAAGAAGGUCUUCGGAUUGUAAAGCACUUUAAGUUGGGAGGAAGGGCAGUUACCUAAUACGUAUCUGUUUUGACGUUACCGACAGAAUAAGCACCGGCUAACUCUGUGCCAGCAGCCGCGGUAAU